Molecule: long non-coding RNA, 421 nt
Filed under: Salvia miltiorrhiza (redroot sage)
Lineage: Eukaryota; Viridiplantae; Streptophyta; Magnoliopsida; Lamiales; Lamiaceae
Description: long non-coding RNA (SMIL_LNC009105)
Source: RNAcentral
CGGUGGUUGUGGUAGUUUGGUCAACCUUUAUUGAUGACCACUCUGACUUUUUGUGCUUGUUUUUUCUAAUGCAUUUGUUUGAUAAAUUAAUUAGAUCAUAACAGAUUUAGGUCAGGCUGCUUAGAUAGCUUAAUCCUUAAAAUAAGGAAGUAAUGUUUUUUUGUUUUGUUUUUUUUUUUUUUACUUGUAGGGAGUUGGAAAGGGAGAGCAGUAGGGUUUGAAUCCGAGACCUCACUGUUCACAGAUAGGAGGUUGCACCGCUUGGUGUCCCCUCGAGGACAUAAAGAAUUAAUGUUAAUAACUUGAAAACAAUCACGAAUUCAUAACUUCAUCACCAAAUAAGGGAUUAAUAUCAACAACUUGAAAACAAUCUAGUAAUUUCAAUUUUAGCAAUAAUAAAUGUAUCUUGAAUUGCUCUGAG